GCCGGGCGUUGUGGCGGGUGCCUGUGGUCCCAGCUACUUGGGAGGCCCUGGCAGGAGACUCGCUUGAGCCCAGGAGUUGGAGGUUGCUGUGAGCUGUAAUGCCACAGCACUCUACCCAGGGGGACAGCUUGAGGCUCUGUCUCAAAAAAAAAACAACCAAAACAAUUCAGCAGAAUAUUCUGGUCAUUCAGAAUUAUUUAAAAGAAGUCUUAUAAUACCUAUUUAGUUUCCAUUUCUUUUUUUUUUUUUGAGACAGAGCCUCAAGCUAUCCCCCAGGGUAGAGUGCAACGGCAUCACAGCUCACAGCAACCUCCAACUCCUGGGCUCAAGCGAGUCUCUUGCCUC
Molecule: non-coding RNA, 345 nt
Organism: Otolemur garnettii (small-eared galago)
Lineage: Eukaryota; Metazoa; Chordata; Mammalia; Primates; Galagidae
Source: Rfam